This 308-nucleotide long non-coding RNA is filed under the name Microcebus murinus (gray mouse lemur). RNAcentral describes it as "lncRNA (ENSMICG00000048431.1)". Lineage: Eukaryota; Metazoa; Chordata; Mammalia; Primates; Cheirogaleidae. The record is from RNAcentral.
UUGUAACUACAGCGUUUCCCUCUUAAUAGAUCCUCAAUAAGCAGUCAAUGAGUGACUCACGGAGCAGGGUGUCCACCUCAUCAGAACACCUGAUUGUGAGUGGUGCAGCUUCAGUGUGCAGAAACAUAGCACGAGAGCACAAGAGCACGAGAGAGGUGGGAGUUGGUGUCUCCGUUCCAGGCCACUGUUCAUUCACCUUGGAUUCCUUAAGGAGAAGACCUAAGAUUCUUGAGGUCCCCACCCUAUUAACACAGAAGAGAGAAGCUUAAAAGAACUGCAGGAAGUGAGGGAUGACAUGAAGCAUGAAG